UGACCCAUUUGGGUCACCUAGCCAACUGACGUUGUUAGUGAAUAUCAUAUUCACAUUCUGACAGCCAAUAGACUCAAUGCUAUUGGCUUUUUUUUA
RNAcentral lists this small RNA (96 nucleotides) under Vibrio aerogenes. RNAcentral describes it as "Qrr RNA". It matches the Rfam family "Qrr RNA". From Rfam's summary of the family: This family represents a set of small RNAs (the Qrr RNAs) that are thought to be involved in the regulation of quorum sensing in Vibrio species. It is believed that these RNAs, guided by a protein, Hfq, can mediate the destabilisation of the quorum-sensing master regulators LuxR/HapR mRNAs. Lineage: Bacteria; Pseudomonadati; Pseudomonadota; Gammaproteobacteria; Vibrionales; Vibrionaceae. The record is from RNAcentral. RNAcentral also lists the same sequence under 1 other name.